This 918-nucleotide long non-coding RNA is filed under the name Gossypium barbadense (sea-island cotton). RNAcentral describes it as "long non-coding RNA (GBAR_LNC000164)". The record is from RNAcentral. Lineage: Eukaryota; Viridiplantae; Streptophyta; Magnoliopsida; Malvales; Malvaceae.
GAGGAGUGGGAGUGAGAGUGAAGGCGAAGGGGGUGACGGCGGAGAAGGAAGCAGCAACCGACCCCGUGCUGCGAAUGGCCGCCACCUGGCCUUCCAAUGCUUGAAAGCCAAAAAGGGACUCUUCUUUGACCUAUUGGUAAUUCUCCCUCUGCCACAGGUAAUUUGUUUUUUCAAUCAUUUCCACGUCAUUAUCCUAAUUUACAUUGAUUAUAAUACGCUUUUUUUUAAUUUUUGGACUUACAUAUAUUUAAUUCAAUGAUAGUGUUAUUAGUGAACCAGAUUUGAAGAAAAAUAAAGUGAGUUUUUUAAAAAAAAAAUUAAAUAAUGUGUGAAAUUAUGGAAAGUUGAUAUUGUUAUUAUCUACAUAUAAGUGUUUUAGAAGAGAUGAGAUGAGAAUGUUAUCAUUAGUCAUUUUGUUGCAUGCAAAGGAUACCCUUUCGACAGUGUAACAAACAUGUGAUGAAACCAUGUCGUUUUUAGCAUUUUCAGGAAAAGGGGUAUAAUGGGAAGAUUCAAAAGUUGAAAGGAUUUUAUCAUCUUUUGUUGUUAUAUUUUGUCAGUUUUUAUUUAUGGUUUUGGAUCGUAAUUCACUGGACAUUAUUGUAAUUAGUAAGGCUAGAAAUUAAACACUCAAAAGGAAUAUAGCCCUUUAUAGAAUCCAAUUUCCAUCAUAAACACCAAACACCUUAAUUAUGAUUAUGAUAUAAUAAAUUAUACAAAUAUGAUUUAAACAAAUAAAAACAUGAUCAUUGAGUCUAUAUAUAUUAAAAAAUUAUAUUUAAUACAUGGAAUAUUGUUGAUGGGCUAACCUGAAUCUUUUGAUUUGGAACCAAGAUUGUACUAUGGGUGGCAAUUCCAUCAUUAUUGGAAAAAGGAUCGGUAACGCUAGUAAUGACGGUGUUCUUGAUCAUCUUCCUC